RNAcentral lists this ribosomal RNA (1387 nucleotides) under Escherichia coli. Its description in RNAcentral is "partial 23S ribosomal RNA". It matches the Rfam family "Bacterial large subunit ribosomal RNA", at positions 354 to 1746 of the family's 2925-position model. Lineage: Bacteria; Pseudomonadati; Pseudomonadota; Gammaproteobacteria; Enterobacterales; Enterobacteriaceae. The record is from RNAcentral.
GCGAUACAGGGUGACAGCCCCGUACACAAAAAUGCACAUGCUGUGAGCUCGAUGAGUAGGGCGGGACACGUGGUAUCCUGUCUGAAUAUGGGGGGACCAUCCUCCAAGGCUAAAUACUCCUGACUGACCGAUAGUGAACCAGUACCGUGAGGGAAAGGCGAAAAGAACCCCGGCGAGGGGAGUGAAAAAGAACCUGAAACCGUGUACGUACAAGCAGUGGGAGCACGCUUAGGCGUGUGACUGCGUACCUUUUGUAUAAUGGGUCAGCGACUUAUAUUCUGUAGCAAGGUUAACCGAAUAGGGGAGCCGAAGGGAAACCGAGUCUUAACUGGGCGUUAAGUUGCAGGGUAUAGACCCGAAACCCGGUGAUCUAGCCAUGGGCAGGUUGAAGGUUGGGUAACACUAACUGGAGGACCGAACCGACUAAUGUUGAAAAAUUAGCGGAUGACUUGUGGCUGGGGGUGAAAGGCCAAUCAAACCGGGAGAUAGCUGGUUCUCCCCGAAAGCUAUUUAGGUAGCGCCUCGUGAAUUCAUCUCCGGGGGUAGAGCACUGUUUCGGCAAGGGGGUCAUCCCGACUUACCAACCCGAUGCAAACUGCGAAUACCGGAGAAUGUUAUCACGGGAGACACACGGCGGGUGCUAACGUCCGUCGUGAAGAGGGAAACAACCCAGACCGCCAGCUAAGGUCCCAAAGUCAUGGUUAAGUGGGAAACGAUGUGGGAAGGCCCAGACAGCCAGGAUGUUGGCUUAGAAGCAGCCAUCAUUUAAAGAAAGCGUAAUAGCUCACUGGUCGAGUCGGCCUGCGCGGAAGAUGUAACGGGGCUAAACCAUGCACCGAAGCUGCGGCAGCGACGCUGAUGCGUUGUUGGGUAGGGGAGCGUUCUGUAAGCCUGCGAAGGUGUGCUGUGAGGCAUGCUGGAGGUAUCAGAAGUGCGAAUGCUGACAUAAGUAACGAUAAAGCGGGUGAAAAGCCCGCUCGCCGGAAGACCAAGGGUUCCUGUCCAACGUUAAUCGGGGCAGGGUGAGUCGACCCCUAAGGCGAGGCCGAAAGGCGUAGUCGAUGGGAAACAGGUUAAUAUUCCUGUACUUGGUGUUACUGCGAAGGGGGGACGGAGAAGGCUAUGUUGGCCGGGCGACGGUUGUCCCGGUUUAAGCGUGUAGGCUGGUUUUCCAGGCAAAUCCGGAAAAUCAAGGCUGAGGCGUGAUGACGAGGCACUACGGUGCUGAAGCAACAAAUGCCCUGCUUCCAGGAAAAGCCUCUAAGCAUCAGGUAACAUCAAAUCGUACCCCAAACCGACACAGGUGGUCAGGUAGAGAAUACCAAGGCGCUUGAGAGAACUCGGGUGAAGGAACUAGGCAAAAUGGUGCCGUAACUUCGGGAGAAGG